UACAGAGGGGGCAAGCGUUAUUCGGAAUUAUUGGGCGUAAAGGGCGCGUAGGCGGUGAUGUAAGUGAGAUGUGUAAUCCCCGAGCUUAACUUGGGAACUGCAUCUCAGACUGUGUCGCUAGAGUACUGGAGAGGGUGGUGGAAUUCCACGUGUAGCGGUGAAAUGCGUAGAGAUGUGGAGGAACACCAGUGGCGAAGGCGGCCACCUGGACAGUAACUGACGCUGAGGCGCGAAAGUGUGGGGAGCAAACAGG
This 253-nucleotide ribosomal RNA is filed under the name uncultured bacterium. RNAcentral describes it as "partial 16S ribosomal RNA". It matches the Rfam family "Bacterial small subunit ribosomal RNA", at positions 524 to 776 of the family's 1533-position model. The record is from RNAcentral.